UCGAGCGGCAGCGCGGGGGCAACCCUGGCGGCGAGCGGCGAACGGGUGAGUAAUGUAUCGGAACGUACCCAGUCGUGGGGGAUAACUAUCCGAAAGGAUAGCUAAUACCGCAUACGUCCUGAGGGAGAAAGCGGGGGACCGUAAGGCCUCGCGCGAUUGGAGCGGCCGAUAUCGGAUUAGCUAGUUGGUGAGGUAAAGGCUCACCAAGGCGACGAUCCGUAGCUGGUCUGAGAGGACGACCAGCCACACUGGAACUGAGACACGGUCCAGACUCCUACGGGAGGCAGCAGUGGGGAAUUUUGGACAAUGGGGGCAACCCUGAUCCAGCCAUUCCGCGUGAGUGAAGAAGGCCUUCGGGUUGUAAAGCUCUUUCAGCAGGAACGAAACGGUGGUCCCUAAUACGGGCUACUAAUGACGGUACCUGAAGAAGAAGCACCGGCUAACUACGUGCCAGCAGCCGCGGUAAUACGUAGGGUGCGAGCGUUAAUCGGAAUUACUGGGCGUAAAGCGUGCGCAGGCGGUUAUAUAAGACAGAUGUGAAAUCCCCGGGCUUAACCUGGGAACUGCGUUUGUGACUGUAUAACUCGAGUGUGGCAGAGGGGGGUGGAAUUCCACGUGUAGCAGUGAAAUGCGUAGAGAUGUGGAGGAACACCGAUGGCGAAGGCAGCCCCCUGGGUCAACACUGACGCUCAUGCACGAAAGCGUGGGGAGCAAACAGGAUUAGAUACCCUGGUAGUCCACGCCCUAAACGAUGC
Molecule: ribosomal RNA, 755 nt
Filed under: uncultured Sulfuritalea sp.
Lineage: Bacteria; Pseudomonadati; Pseudomonadota; Betaproteobacteria; Nitrosomonadales; Sterolibacteriaceae
Description: bacterial SSU rRNA
Rfam family: Bacterial small subunit ribosomal RNA
Source: RNAcentral